Molecule: ribosomal RNA, 254 nt
Filed under: uncultured bacterium
Lineage: Bacteria
Description: partial 16S ribosomal RNA
Rfam family: Bacterial small subunit ribosomal RNA
Source: RNAcentral
UACGGGGGGGGCAAGUGUUAUUCGGUCCAACUGGGCGUAAAGCGUCUUUAGGCGGAUAAUUGUGAGUUAUAUUCAAAAUAACAAAGGGUAACCUUGUAUUAUUUUAUAAGACCAGUUUUCUCGAGUUUUGUAGGGGUAUAUGUUAUUUCUUCAGUAAGGUUAAAAUUUUUAGACAGAAGAAGGAGCUUCAAGGGUGAAGACAAUAUACUAGGCAAGACUGACGCUAAAGGACUAAAGCAUAGGUAGCGAUCGGG